RNAcentral lists this long non-coding RNA (3664 nucleotides) under Homo sapiens (human). RNAcentral describes it as "HSALNT0292735". The record is from RNAcentral. Lineage: Eukaryota; Metazoa; Chordata; Mammalia; Primates; Hominidae.
AACCGUGACUCCUUAGAUGCUCCAGCCAUACUGGUUUCCUUUCAGUUUUCAGAACCUGCCAUCCCAUUUGCUACUUGUCUGCUUAGAAUGCAUUUUUCCCAGCUCCUUUUGUGGCUGGCUUAUUCUUACCUUUCAGUUCUUUCAGUUCGAAUAAUAGCCCUGUAAAAGAGUGUUCUGUCUAAAAUUGUCCUUCCUGUUUAUAUUUUCCAUAAUACUAAUAACAGUCUGAAAUGCUCUUGUUAAUUUAUUUGAUUACUCAUUUUAUUUAUUUAUCUUUUGCACUAUGAUGUCAGUCCCACAAGGAUGCAAACUACGUUUACUACCUUCUUUUCUACCUUUUGCACUUUUCCUAAUCACAUUGGGAAUAAAAUGUUGGGCAAGUUAGAAUACUCCAAAAUAUUUCAUUUACCUUAAAUUUUACUCAAUCCUACAUUUUAUUACCUAUACUCAUAAGAAUUGUAUUAUAAAAUACAUUGUUAAACGAAUGUUUUCAGUGCUCCAUUGAGAGUCGGUGGAGCACACUGGUUGGGAGAAGACAGAGCUGUGAGCCAUCCGUCUGCCUGUGCUUGAGUCUUGGCUCUGCCAUUGACUAGUUGUAUGAACUGCCGCAGGUGGUUCAGCCACUCAGAACCUCUGUAAAAGUGAGAUGUAAAAACACUUUCUACAUCAUAGGAUUAUUGUGAAGAUUAAAUGUGAUAUGUUGUAAAAUUCUGGUCACACAAGUAUUAACUUACUGUUAUUUUUGCUGCCACUGCUAUUAAUUAAUGGCAGUGUGGCGGCUCAGUACUAGGCAAUGGGCGUGCAACUGUGAUGAGAAACGCUUCUGUCCAUUAAAUCGUUCAGUCAGUGGAAGAGACAUGUAUGUAAAUAGGUAAGUUACCUACCAUACAUUGUGCCAAGACCUCUCACAUUAUGUGAACAGAAUAUUAAAGAAUUAUAAAAGAGGGAGCAAUUGCCUCUGUUAAGUAGACAGCAAAGAUGCCUUAUAGGAAGUAGCAUUUGAGACAGAUUAAGUUUCUUUUUAGGUAAAAAUAUGUCCCCUAGAGAUAAUAAUAAAAUAAUAGCAACGGAUACCUAUGUACUUCUUUUACUAAUGCACCAGAGUCUGUUUUACAUAUAUUCUCUCAUUUAAUCCUUACAGCAACCUUAUGAAACAGUACUGUUAUCACCUUGAUUUUACAGAGAAGGAAAGUGAGCCAAAGAGAGGUUAUGUGGCAUGCCCAAGGUCAUAUAACUAUUAAAUGUCAGUGCUGGGAUCUCGUACAUUUUCACUCUUAGGACAUCUGUGCUAUCCCUGCUUAGUCACUUUGGCAUCCCAGUGGUGCUGUACUUUUGCUUUCAUAAUACAUGGAAGCCCUGGAAGGAUUCAGUAAAGAGCCAGUUUCACCCUGUUAGCCCUUGUUGCUUUAUUUGUAAAAUGUCAACUGUAAAAGUAUGCACCUACCUUAUAGGGUGAUUAUGAGAAUUAAAUGAGAUAAUUCAGGUAAAGUGCUUAGCAUAUUGCUUGGCAUAUGGUAAGCAUUUAACAAAUGUUCCCCGUAACUACUACUACGACUGCUAUUAUUAUUAUUAUGCCAUAUUGAAAUGAGAUCUGUGAUCCCUUGUGACCUGCCCGAGCCCCCCUUCUCAUGUUAGCAUCCAUGCUGGUAUAUCCACUUCCAAAGAGAACAAGUUCCCAGCAGUUGAAAUGGCAUCCUACCCAGGUUGCUAGCACCAUCCCUCAGCUGCUUCUCCAACUGCCAUAACUGCCUUAGUCAUUUAAAAAUUACUCUUCUCGUUUUAUAUUUCAACUCAGAAAUCGAUGCAUCUGUGAGGCAGUUUGUUUUCCUGGGGAAGUGUAAGGAGCGGUGGUGGUGGCAUGGAGAUGCGCUCCGUUUAGACUCAAUAUUGCCACCCACUCCCUCUGCAGUGUCAGAGAACAGUCUCAGAAAGAUCUGUUCCUUUCUUUCUAGACUCAGUACCACAGACUGGCCUAUCCUCUGCAACUUUGCUUAGCAGCAGGAGUAGAGAAGUAUUGAUUGCCCACAACUUGCCUUUAAGUCUUGUUUCUGUGGUGCAGGAUUUUUAAAAAGCAUUUAAUGUUUUCCCUGCCUUGAAGACUUCAGAACCGUAUAAAUGCCACUGUUUAAAGUCCUGUCCCUGCUGAAAACCAGGGCAGGUCUCAUCACAGCCCCAUCUCCAUUUUCCUUUUGUUGAAGUGGGUCUGUGUGAGAGCGGGCUGUGCCCUCCUUCUCCACAGGGUGGGGAAAAGGCAGCCCUGUAGUAAGGAGGUUGAAUAGCCUCGCUCACUUUGCCUCCUGCUUGAGGUGGACUCCGUGUUCCCAGAGAUGUUGGGCCUGGUUUAGCCAGUUGUUAAACUGAAGCAGGGUUAGCUUACCCUUGAAGUGUUUUUGUUUGUUUGUUUUUGUUGAGACAGAGUCUCGCUCUGUCACCCAGGCUGGAGUGUAGUGGUGCGAUCUCGGCUCACUGCACCCUCCGCCUCCCGGGUUCAAGUGAUUCUCCUGCCUCAGCCCCGGAGUAACUGGGACCACAGAGAAAGCAGUGGUCUUGGCAGGUCGUGGGCUGGCAAGUCUUUGUAUCAUUUUUUUCUGCUGAGCACCAAACUCUUCUGGCAGUUUUUAAAUUGAGAUAUUGGUAAAUUAUUAAAAAACCAUAAAUUUUCUUCUAGAUGCUAAGUAACUCUUAACAGUCUUCUGAGUACUAUGUCCUUAGUGCCUUUCCUGGAAAUACCAAAAGGCAAACAUCCCACUUUAAUAGAAGUGAUAAUUGUAGUACACAUUCUUAAGAGAAUGCCUCCUUAUGCCUACAUUUUUAUUGAGGGCUUUGUCUACAUACAUCCAGAGUCAACUUAACUUUUGGACCCAAUUAACUGAUUGGCCUGAUGAAUUUAAUUAAAAUAGGGGAAGUGCUUGUACAGAGAGGAACAGCAUUAGUAUAAUGUGGUGGUUAAGAUUAACAAGAUUGAUUUGACUUGAUAAUUAAUUAAUUUGAUUAACAAGAUAAUUUAGUGUCAGGCGGAGACCUAGGUUCAAAUCCUUACUAUAGAUGACCUUGGUUUUAAACUCUUUAAGUCUCAUUUUUUCCCCAUCCAUUAAGAUGUCAUAAAAACACUGACCCCAGAAGGUAGUGAGAACUGGGGAGAUAAGUUAGGGAAGUGCUCAGCACAACACUUGGGCCAGUCACUGAUGGACGGUAGUACCUUUUGUUAUUUUCUAGUAUUUUUAAAUGCAAUUUUGUGGAGGGUGAAAUGGGGAUUACACAAUAUAGCGAUUUCCUGUUAACACCUACAUUUUUGCUGAUCAAGCAAGGUCUGUUGGUGCGAGAGCUUAACCUUUAUUUUAUUUCCAAAUGUGUUUUUUAUUCCGAGUCCCGUUGGUGUCUAUGGUUUCACUUUUCUCCAUGAGCCACAUGUUAAAGCCUGCCCUGACUAAAUGAAGGAGUGUAAGCAGUGGGAUAGACAUUGCAGGCAGGCGAAACUGGGAUAAGCCCCAGAAUCUUUUGAACCUAUCAGUAAUAUUACUAACAGGGAGAAAGUAUAAAAGUGAGCGCUUCAAGUGCUCUAGUGUACAUGUCAAAAUUAAAGCACGAGUUCCACGGGAUGGCUCACCACCCUCCCUUAUUUAUAAAACAGAAGUAUCUUUUGAGCCCGCUGUGCCCUCCUCCC